This 390-nucleotide ribosomal RNA is filed under the name uncultured organism. RNAcentral's name for it is "bacterial SSU rRNA". It matches the Rfam family "Bacterial small subunit ribosomal RNA", at positions 45 to 433 of the family's 1533-position model. The record is from RNAcentral.
GGCCUAAUACAUGCAAGUCGAACGGGAUUGAGGAGCUUGCUUCUCAUGAGAGUGGCGUACGGGUGCGUAACGCGUAUGCAACCUACCUUCAUCAGGGGGAUAGCCCGAAGAAAUUCGGAUUAACACCGCAUAACAUUACUGAAUGGCAUCAUUUGGUAAUCAAAUAUUUAUAGGAUGAAGAUGGGCAUGCGUGUCAUUAGCUAGUUGGUGAGGUAACGGCUCACCAAGGCGACGAUGACUAGGGGAUCUGAGAGGAUGACCCCCCACACUGGUACUGAGACACGGACCAGACUCCUACGGGAGGCAGCAGUAAGGAAUAUUGGUCAAUGGAGGCAACUCUGAACCAGCCAUGCCGCGUGCAGGAAGACUGCCCUAUGGGUUGUAAACUGC